This is a long non-coding RNA of Oreochromis aureus, 1708 nucleotides long. RefSeq lists it as uncharacterized. The transcript is spliced from 3 exons. NCBI's taxonomy places the organism in Eukaryota, Metazoa, Chordata, Actinopteri, Cichliformes, Cichlidae. The record is from RefSeq and is a predicted model, not a curated record.
ACUGACUCAGUUCUUGCCUGAGGUCCAGACCAGGAAGAACAAAUAUAAUACUGAGCGAAAAUGGAGAUAAGCAGGCAGAUAAUAUACCUUACGCAAUCGUUGGAGAGUAUUUGACAGUUUCGGUUCCCGACUGUGAUACAACUACAACAUUUCAAUGGAAGCAAGUAGAGGAAUCUACAAACCCAUCUGGGUAUGUGACAGUUUUUGUUUUUACUGCAUUUCAACAGUUUAAAGAAUUUGAUGUAGUUUUAAAAGCUCACUAAGAAUAAAUUUAAGUAACAAUGAGUAACUUGUUUCUUUGACAGGUGUUGUUCAACACACUCAUGUGAAGAUCUGCUGGCAUCUUCCUGCCUACGGGCUCAGGUUGCAAUGAUGGAGUUCCUUGGGCUUCAGAGGGAAAAUCUAAUUCCAUCAAACAUCACUGCUGAAGAUCUGAGAGUUUUUUUGGCGGAGAAAACCAAAGAGACACUCAGCACUGAGUUACUGUGACAAAUCAAAGUCUGUGAUGUGUGCAAAUGCUGACAGGAAGCCCCUGUUUUGUUUUCAUUUGAAGACUUUGGGAGUUUGAAUUAGAAGAUUUUGAAGAAGAAGAAGCCAAACCUCUUCUGAAACUGGUAUGGGCAGUGAACAUCAUUAAUAAAAUGAGGGACAAAGUUUUAAGCCCAGAUGUUCCUUAAAUUUCCAGAGGCCAUAUCUCCUAAAUUUAAUUGACUCACAUCUGACAGUUUAUAACAGUCCAGCUACAGUGUUUUAAUAUUUCUGUGAUGCUUUAAAUAGAUUUAAAAGCUAAUUCUUACAACGUUACUCUAUAGAACACCUAAACUCCUCCAAUGGUGAAGGAUUACAUUGAAAUCCUUAAAGAGAAGCAGUAGGAACCACAAAGCACCAAACUGCUCACUGCACAGGAAGUGGUGAUAGACGUAGUUCCCUGCAUCCUGCAGGGCUUCUGGGAGCUUCCUCCUCGUCCCCUCUUGAACAUGGCCUCCCAGAGUUUGAGCAUACUCCAAAAAGUGUCACCAAGGCCACUUUGGAUCGAGUCUCCAAAACUCUCACAGCGAUGGAAAGUCAGGCUGUCUUCUUCCGCUCCAUCAGAGACAACAUGGUCCAGAGCAUCCCGACAAAAAUCAGAGAGAAAUAUGCUUAAGAAAUUCUACUUAACAACAUUGCAAACUUUGCACCAGUGCUGCUCAAGAAAAUUGCCGAUGUAGCAAAGAACCACAUAUCUAAGAUCCUAAAGCCCCCUUCAAGUCUGCCAAUGUCAGAUCUUCUUCCCAAUGAAGAACUUCAUGCUGAAAGUUCAUCAUUGUUUGAUGUUCCUCACAUUGAAGAACCUACAUCUUAAUGUCUGCAAAUCCCUGAUAUUCAAGAUACUGAACAUCUCAAAAAUUUACAUAAGAAAAACUGUCUAAUGACAAAAGAAAAUUUAGAGCUAGAACACAUCUGAAUGAAUAUUGAAAGCUCAAAUUAAAUCACUGGAAGAUUAGACAUUUAAAAUACAUAAUUCCAAACUUAAGGAUGUCAAAUGAAUAAACAGAAUAUUUUCAGAAUAUCUGCUGUGUGUGUGUCAGUGCUGAAUCUUCAUUGAUUGUGGGUAAAGUUUACACUGACACAGGCUAACUAUGGUGGAGUGCUUCAUACCCCACCCCCACUACAGACUGGCUGCAAACAGGGUGGAGGUGUGUAGGGGCUGGAUUCAAAUUAGGCUGUC